This 333-nucleotide unclassified non-coding RNA is filed under the name uncultured fungus. RNAcentral describes it as "partial contains 5.8S rRNA and ITS2". The stretch from base 1 to 52 matches the Rfam family "5.8S ribosomal RNA", at positions 103 to 154 of the family's 154-position model. Lineage: Eukaryota; Fungi. The record is from RNAcentral.
AACGCACCUUGCGCCUUUGGGUAUUCUCAAAGGCAUGCCUGUUUGAGUGUCAUAACAAUCUCAUCUCCCAAUCUUUUUGAAAGAAAAGGUUGCUUGGAGGUGGUGAUGGGCGCUUGCCAUGCUGAAUAAGUCUGGCUCGCCUUAAAGACAUCAGUAGCUCUUAUCGAGUCCGGUCUGACUAUGUGUGAUAAUUUGAUCGCAUAGGAUGUGCUUGCACAACCGGUCUUAUUUUAAGAGUCUGCUUCUAACCUGGAAUGGUAUGAGAGUAACUUUCAUCCAUCGCAGCUUUAUUUGUCUGACCUCAAAUCAGGUAGGACUACCCGCUGAACUUAA